This is a long non-coding RNA of Sardina pilchardus (European sardine), 7238 nucleotides long. RefSeq lists it as uncharacterized. NCBI's taxonomy places the organism in Eukaryota, Metazoa, Chordata, Actinopteri, Clupeiformes, Clupeidae. The transcript has 3 exons. The record is from RefSeq and is a predicted model, not a curated record.
GAAGAGUAGUGCUGCUGAGGAAGCCUGUGCUGCUGUGGCUUCAGCUGUGGGUUCAAACCCCUUACUCAUGACUAAGCUGGAUCUGAGUAAGCGCAUACCAGGAGCCUUGGGAGUGACUCAGCUGUGUGCUUUACUGCAGGAUCCCCACUGCACACUGCAGACAUUACGACUGUCAUGGUGCAGUAUUGGAGAGGAAGGCUUCAGAGCUCUUGCAUCAGCACUGAGAUCAAACCCCUCACACAUGAGAGAGCUGUGGCUAGGUGGGAAUAAAGCAGGAGACUCAGGAGUAAAGCAUCUUUCUUCUCUUCUGGAGGACCCCAACUGUAAACUGGAGAAACUAGACGUGAUGUACUGCAGUAUAAGAGAUGAAGAUUCCAGAGCUUUAGCAUCAGCACUGAGAUCAAACCCAUCAGCCCUCAGAGAGCUCUAUCUGGAGGGGAAUCAGCUUGGACCCUCAGCAUGGCAGCUGUUCUCUGAGCUUGAGGAACAUCCAAACUGUGAACAUAUAAAAAUCUAUUAUGGACCCUAAUCAGUAGUCGAGUUGAGGGGGGAUGAGGGGGGAUGGCAUCCCCCUUUGGAAUUGAUAUGGUCAAAAUCAUCCCCCCUCUGAAACGGCCAUCCCCCUCCCCAUCCCCUGUAAUUUUUCAAUGAAUGUGGAAAUAUCACAACUAUUUCAUUUUCAACAUUUAGCUUUUGCACACAUCGAGGCUAAAAUGUGGACGAGGGGCAUGCUCCUUCUAUUGUCACAGCAAUCAGCAGCAUCAUGGCCAAGCGACAAGCAAAGUUUGAUCUAAGGGACGUCGGCUAAGAGGACAAAAUGUUGAUGAAUUAGAAAGAGUACACUUAUACUCAAACCUGAAACACUCAGUCUCCCUUGUUUGCUAAAGUGAAGGUACCUAGCCCGCUAUAGGUGUUCACUCCAGCAACAAACUUGCCAUAAUGUAAUUGGAAAGGAUAGGCUACCGUAGCGGCUCAUGGCGAGCUAACGCAAUGUUGUCCAACUUUUCAGGUCAUCUUAUUGAGAGUGAUGUAUGAAUGCAUCCUCACUCACAUGAAAGAAUAGUUUUGUAGUGUGUGGUUCUGCAAAUAGACAAUGUCACGAGGUGGCUGAAGAGACAAACGUCUGAGCAUCUGUUCAUCUUUAGAAUUAUUAUUCCGCUGUAAAGGGUAUAGCCUAGGCACAAAGAAUACACUUUUGUUUUGCAUUUGGUAGAACGUAAGACUGAGACUGAGCUACAAAGUAGCACCAACAUUGUUGUGUGGCAAUUAAAGUUUCUGUUCUAGGCUACUGUAUGGUGGUAGAAUUCCAGAGUGAAAGCAAAAAGUCUCAACUUUUUUUUUGGUUCCAUUUAACUUGGCUAGAUUGGUAAUUAUAACAAGUCAUCGUUGAAUGCAUUAAAAUUGAUGUCUGGUUCACUAAUUCAGAUCUGAUAGAUAUUUAGUGUAUUUAAGUGAUAAUGUUACUCUGAACUGGGAUCAAUUUUAGCAACUCGACGUAGACAUGAUCUAAAAUGUUAGUGACACAUAAAAUGUACAUGAAUUGGAAGAAAUGUAGGAUUUGCCAAUGUCCAGCAGGUCACGCUAUAAAUGGACUAAAAUACAGGAAAUUGCAUCUUAAUUUUUUUUUUUUUUUUCUGUGGGAGGACCCCCAUACCCCCCCGCAAGACUAAUACCCAGAUGUGCAUUUUAAAAUCCACCAUCCCCCCUGCCAUUUUUUAACAACUUGACUACUGAUCCUAAUGAAUCCAUCCUGUUGUGUUCCACCUGAAUCAUGUUUUUACACUGUGCAUAAAUAAGUGUUGCAGCGCAUUCAUAUUUGAAGUAAUAUGUUUUAAAGUGAAUUGAUUUUGAUUUGAUUUGAUUUGAUUUUAAUGGGCCACACAGCCAGGCUGGUGGAAUUUGUUAUCAGUACUGCUCUUGGUACAUGGUUCCAACAUUGGGCUACAUUAACAUAGUAUAACAUACAAACACAUUCAUACAUGAUUCAUACAACAUAGAUACAUAAAUACAUAAGGGUCAUACUAAUCCAUAACAGUCCUCAGUGUUUGGAGUUGAGAAAGUUUAUUGCUACGGAAACGGAAUUGUUUUUGAAGCGGGUUGUUCUAGAGGUGAUUGUCCGGUAACGUCUCCCAUAGUCUUUGCUGGGCUUUUUUGUAGAUGUGGUCUGAGUUGAUUUUCCAUUUGAGGUUGUUGCUGAUGUGGGUCCCAAGGAGGUUGAAUGUGUCAGUGAUGGAGAUGGGUUCACCUUCAAUGAGCACAGGAGUUUUGGGGGAUAGCUGGUGUCUUAGGUCGACGAUGAGUUAUUUUGUUUUUGAUGUGUUGAGUAGGUGGUUGUGGUCUGUGCACCAGGUCAUGGCUUGGUUGAUCUGUGCACGGUAUUCAUUUUUUUGGUUUUUGGUGAUGAGUCCUAUGAUGGUUGUAUCGUCCGCAUAUUUGUACAGGUUGACAGAACUGUGCUGAUGGAUAGAGGGGAGGAUGUGAUGUUGUUGAUCUUCACCUUCUGUUGCCUGUUCCAGAGAAAACUGUAAAUCCAGUGACAGAUGCAUGGGUCGAUGUUCAUGUCCAGUAAUAUGUUGAGCAGUUUUUCCAGGUUUAUUGUAUUGAAUGCAGAGCUGAAGUCCAUGAACAGGAUGCGUGCAUAUGUGUUUGUGGACUCACGGUGGUUCAGUAUGUGGUGGAUUGCUAAGUUGACAGUGUCCUCAACUGACCUGUUGGCUCUGUAUGCAAAUUGGAGUGGGUCCAUGAGGGAUAAUUUGUUUUGGAGUUUUUUUCCAGAUAAAACGUGUAUCAUUGGUGGUUGUUCUUCAAGUUUGGAGGCAUAGUUGGAUUUGGCUUUUCUUAUUGCAGAUCUCACUUUGUAUACUCUUCCAUAUAUUGUUCCUUAUUUCCUGACAUAUGAGCUUGAUUUUUCUCUUUUCUUAACUGUUUAAUGUCCUUGUUGAACCACGGUUUGCUGUUAUUGUAGUGUUUCAUUUUUUUUGAGUGGUAUGCACAAGUCCAUGCAGUAAUUGAUGUAUGAUGAAAUUGCAUCAGUGACAUCAGCGACAUCAUGGAGAUCACCGGCAGCAUGGAAAACGUCCCGGUCUGUGCAUGCGAAACAACCUCAACGUUUUUCGAUGGCUUCGGGGUACCAGCACCUGGCGAGUUUUGUUGGUGACUUGGAAGAUUUAAGUUUUUGCCUGUAUUGUGGGAUUAGCAGCAGCAUUGCGUGGUCGGACGAACCCAACGGAACCUUCGGAAAGGCAUGGUAAGCCUCUUUGAUGGUGGUGUAGCAGUGGUCCAACGUGUUGGUCCCCCUGCUGGGGUUGGUUACCUGGUGAUGGUAGCCGGGGAGCUCAGAUGACAAAGAUACGUUGUAUCUACGAGCCCUUGGCCUAGAUACCAAGCCUGACGCGCGGAAAAAAAUUGCACUGCUUCUUACCGUUGCGGGACCACAGGCUGUGGAGGUAUGCAACGAGCUUGUAUUCGCCAGCGCGGAUGACAAAGAAAAGUUUGAUGAACACUGUUCACCAAAGAAAAACGAAACGUUUGUCGAACAGUACGUGUUUGUCGAACGGUACUUGUUUUGUUCACGCAUACAGUUACAGACAGAAAGGUUUGAUGUUUUUGUGACGGACUUGAAACUGAAAGCGAGGACAUGCAAUUUUGGAGAGCUUAAUGAUUGAUAUGCAAUUGCAAUUCAAUGCAAUUGAUACGUGAUCAAGUAGUGUAUGGGACUCAUAACAAAAAAGUGAGGGAGAGAUUACUACGAGAAGCUGAACUUACAGGGGCUAUGAAAAUUUGUCAAGCAAGUGAACUGGCUCAGCAGCAUGCAGAAACGUUCAGUGAGCACCACGAUGACAGUGCAGCAGCACCAGUGGCCGCAGUGAAUUAGUGAAAUCAUAAACAGAAAAGACCACAGACUAAGUAAGAAAAAGACACAGGGACAUUUGCGUGUAAAAGAUGAGGCAACCAGCAUGCGCCUAAACAAUGUCCGGCUUAUGGCAAAAUAUGUAAUAAAUGUAAAGGAAAAAAUCACUUUGCUAAGCAAUGCUUUUCCAGAGGGAAACAAAGUGGAGGUGAACGUGUCCAUACUCUGGAAGAAACUGAACUCUCAGAUUCAUUCCUUGUAGGCAUGGUGGCUUAGGCUGAAAUUAUGCAAAAAGAGAUGGAACAGUGCUCAAAUGUAAAUUCUGUGGAUCAGGACAAGUGGAUUGUGCCACUGCAGAUACAUGGUGCAGUCAUUCCUCUAAAGCUAAGGCCAAUUUAAUGAGUGAACGUGACAUCAGAGCCAUGAAGGUGAAACUUCCAUCCCAGUUCAGUGAAUCUCAAAGCCUACAAUGAAAAAAUCAACACAAAAGGCACAUGCAGAUUAAAAGUGAAGGGUAAAGAAAAGGAACAUAACCUGAUGUUUGUAGUUGUUCCAGAUGGACAUGACUCAUUACUAGGCGACACAGCAUGUGAGAAUUUAGGCUUAGUAAAGAGGGUUUACUGCAUCAACAAUGUCAAUGCAUGAACUGUGUAGAAUUGAUAGUGAAUCAGUAUCCAGACAUCUUCAAGGGGUUUGGUGUCUUACCAUUCACCUAUAAGAUACAACUGAAGGAGGAUGCACAGUCAUCCAUGCUCCCAGGAGAGUACCAGCGCCCCUGCGAGAAAAGCUGAAACAAGAGCUAGACAGAAUGACCUCACUGGGAGUGAUAAAGAAAGUUGAGAAGCCGACAGAAUGGGUGAAUUCGAUGGCAUUUCUCAAGAAACCAAAUGGAGACCUGCGUGUGUGCAUGGAUCCAGAAGGACCUGAAUGACAAUAUGAAAACAGAACAUUAUCAAAUACCACUUCAGAGAACUGCUGCAUGACAGGUGUGAGUUCAGGUGGACCUCUGAGCAUGAAACAGAAUGGUCCCGUUUGAAAACAACUCUCACUACAGAGACGGUGCUGACGUUUUGAUCAAGAUAUCAGCUGAUUCUUCAAAGAAUGGAAUUGGGGCCGUCCUUCUGCAGGCAUCUAGAGAAGACUGGAGACCAUGCUCCCAGGAGAGUACCAGCGCCCCUGCGAGAAAAGCUGAAACAAGAGCUAUGCCUCGGGAACUAGUGUAUGGAUUUCUAAAAUGCCAUGGUUAUGUCUAUGGCUUGCCAAAGUUUGUGGCAGAGACUGAUCACAAGCCUUUAAUAGCCAUCAUCAGGAAGAACCUCAGCGAGAUGUCACCACGCAUGCAGAGACUCAUGAUGAAGCUUCAACGCUAUGACUUUGAGUUGAUUUACACACCGGGGAAACACAUAGUGUCCAGAGCAACAACACAGAAUGAAGAACAGGGUGUGUGCUCUACCGAAAAUGAAGUUAAUGCACAUGUAAACUUGAUCACUGAGUCACUACCCAUGUCUGACAUGAAAUCCAAAAUGAUCACCGCUGGAUGCCACCUUAUAGAAAGUAAUCAAGCUUUUGAGUGACGAUUGGCCACGGGGUGAGUGUCAACCAUACUACACAUUGUACAACAUAAGAGGAGAGCUGAGUUUCAUUAAUGGCCUGAACAGAAUAGUCAUUCCUCAGUCUCUGAGAUCAGACAUGCUGAAUAGGCUGCAUGAGAGGAAAAAUGCUAAAUAAGGGCCAGGUAUCAAUGCUGACAUAGACAGGAUGGUUUCAAGUUGUGACACUUGUCUUAAACAUCAAGCAAAACAAGAGCCCAUGACUAUCACAGAUAUACCUGAUGAACCCUGGCAAAAAAGUUGGGACAGAUUUGUUCUACUUAGACGGAAAGAACUACCUGCUGGAAAUCGAUUAUCUAUCCAAUUAUCCAGAGAUGACAUUGCUUCUCAACAUGUCAGCGGCCUGUGAUCAAACAUAUGAAGUCAAUAUUUGUGAGGCAUGGGAUUCCCCAGAUUGUCUACAGUGACAAUGGUCCAUCCUAUAGCUGCAAAGGAGUUUGCUGAGGCAUAUGAUUUUCGACAUGUGACGUCUAGCCCCUUGUAUGCCCAGUCAAACGGAAAGGCAGAGAAAGGUGUACACAUAGUCAAACAGCUGCUUAGAAAAGUGCAAGAAAGUAAUUCAGAUCCGUAUCUAGCUCUGUUCAGUUAUCGAGCAUCGCCACUUGAGCAUGGCAUGUCUCCUGCAGAAAUUCUUAUGGGAUGUAGUCUACGUACCACAAUUCCCUACACGUCUGAACAGAAGCAGAACAAAGUGAAACAAAAACAGACUUCUACAAAAAAAAGACCUACUGUAUUUCGCCAAACACAGACGUCCGGUGAUAAUACUAAUCCCGUGCGAAUCUGCAUCUCAGUGAUUGCUAUUGCAAUUGCAUAUCUUUUCUACUUUGUGCGUUGUUUUCGGACGUUAGCAUACGACAUAUCCGGGUGUAAUGUCAGUGAAAAUAGAGUAAUUUACAGACUUUGCUUAUCCCGUGCGAAUGCGCUGCAAGUAACACAGAGGUGGGGCGAUAAUUUGAAAAUGACCAGAGGUCCACAGGUAAUACUAAUCCCGUGCGAAUAGGGCUUAUGACAAGUCUACAAAAAGCUUAGUUCCACUGGCUAGGCAUGAUACAGUGAGAAUCCAAGAUUCCAACACCUGGACCAAGAAGACAACUGUGCUUGAGGAAGUACGUCUAAGGUCCUACACUGUCAGAACAGAGGAUGGUCAAAUUCUGAGAAGGAACCGAAGGAGUCUGCUGAAAACAGAAGACACCUUCCAAGGACAGGAGGAUGAAACUUCAAAGGAAGAUCCAGCCUGCACUUCAUCAGCUGAACCAACACCUGAUGACGACCAAAGAACUGAAGAGACUGACUUACCUGUGUUGAGAAGAUCCACACGCAGUGUAAAAGCACCUGACAGGCUGAAUCUUUGAGGAUUAUGAGGCAAUCAUGUAUCCUUUAAAAGUCUGAGGUCAUGGACAUGGACAGUUGUUCAUUAAGUACUGAGAAUGUGAAAAAAAGAAAUUUUUCAUGUCGAAGUUGAACGAAAAAAAGAAGAAAUAUUGAUAGCCUAAUGUUGCUAGAGAUAUACUGUAGUUUGUUUAUGUGUAUGGCAGCUUACAUCCAAAGAAAAGGGGAUGUAAUAAUAAGUGAAUGUGUUAUGAGAUUUACCCCCACCACUAGAGGGCUGCUGUUGUGGUAUACUGUAGCUACCUGAUAACUACAAUGUGUUUGAUCAGAACAUCAGUAGAUGGAGAUAAUGAAGUCAUGCUGAACUUGGAUGCUGACCGAGUUUAUUAAAUAAAAUAUGUUUAGUUAAAGGGAUAUUCCGCCAUUUUUGGAAAUACGCUCAUUUUCCA